This 288-nucleotide small nuclear RNA is filed under the name Octodon degus (degu). RNAcentral describes it as "7SK RNA (ENSODEG00000023029.1)". It matches the Rfam family "7SK RNA". Rfam says of the family: 7SK was discovered as an abundant small nuclear RNA in the mid-70s but a possible function has only recently been suggested. The record is from Rfam by way of RNAcentral. Lineage: Eukaryota; Metazoa; Chordata; Mammalia; Rodentia; Octodontidae.
AGAUAUGAGGGCAAUCUGGCUGUGACAUCUGUCAUCCUAUUGAUUGCCAGAGUUGAUUUGGCUGAUCUGGCUGGCUAGGUGGGUGUCCCCUUCCUCCCUUAACGCUCCCAGCUCCCUCCUGGAGCUGCAUGCUCAGCUGAAGAGGACGAUCAGAGGAGGACCGUUCCUUGGCCAAGGAUAUACGAGUAGCUGUGCUGUCCUGCUGGAACCUCCAGACAAGCUCCCCAAGUUCUGGAGCAGAGGACACUAUUCUCAGUGCCACACAGCCAAUCAGAGGAAGCACUGAAU